This 492-nucleotide ribosomal RNA is filed under the name uncultured bacterium. RNAcentral's name for it is "partial 16S ribosomal RNA". It matches the Rfam family "Bacterial small subunit ribosomal RNA", at positions 29 to 507 of the family's 1533-position model. The record is from RNAcentral.
AGUGAACGCUGGCGGCAGGCCUAACACAUGCAAGUCGAACGGCAGCACAGUAAGAGCUUGCUCUUACGGGUGGCGAGUGGCGGACGGGUGGGGAAUAUAUCGGAAUCUACUUUUUCGUGGGGGAUAACGUAGGGAAACUUACGCUAAUACCGCAUACGACCUACGGGUGAAAGCAGGGGAUCUUCGGACCUUGCGCGAUUGAAUGAGCCGAUGUCGGAUUAGCUAGUUGGCGGGGUAAAGGCCCACCAAGGCGACGAUCCGUAGCUGGUCUGAGAGGAUGAUCAGCCACACUGGAACUGAGACACGGUCCAGACUCCUACGGGAGGCAGCAGUGGGGAAUAUUGGACAAUGGGCGCAAGCCUGAUCCAGCCAUACCGCGUGGGUGAAGAAGGCCUUCGGGUUGUAAAGCCCUUUUGUUGGGAAAGAAAAGCAGCAGGUUAAUACCCCGCUGUUCUGACGGUACCCAAAGAAUAAGCACCGGCUAACUUCGUG